Molecule: ribosomal RNA, 500 nt
Filed under: uncultured bacterium
Lineage: Bacteria
Description: partial 16S ribosomal RNA
Rfam family: Bacterial small subunit ribosomal RNA
Source: RNAcentral
GACGAACGCUGGCGGCGUGCCUAAUACAUGCAAGUCGAGCGGACUGAUUAAGAGCUUGCUCUUAUGACGUUAGCGGCGGACGGGUGAGUAACACGUGGGCAACCUGCCCUGUAGAUCGGGAUAACACCGAGAAAUCGGUGCUAAUACCGGGUAAUAUCUGCGAUCACAUGAUCUUAGGUUAAAAGAUGGCUCCGGCUAUCACUACAGGAUGGGCCCGCGGCGCAUUAGCUAGUUGGUAAGGUAAUGGCUUACCAAGGCGACGAUGCGUAGCCGACCUGAGAGGGUGAUCGGCCACACUGGGACUGAGACACGGCCCAGAGUCCUACGGGAGGCAGCAGUAGGGAAUCUUACGCAAUGGACGAAAGUCUGGCGGAGCAACGCCGCGUGAGUGAUGAAGGGUUUCGGCUCGUAAAGCUCUGUUGUUAGGGAAGAAACAGUACCGAACGAACUAGGUCGGUACCUUGACGGUACCUAACCAGAAAGCCACGGCUAACUACGUG